Molecule: ribosomal RNA, 440 nt
Filed under: uncultured bacterium
Lineage: Bacteria
Description: partial 16S ribosomal RNA
Rfam family: Bacterial small subunit ribosomal RNA
Source: RNAcentral
CCUACGGGUGGCAGCAGUGGGGAAUAUUGCACAAUGGGGGAAACCCUGAUGCAGCGACGCCGCGUGAGUGAAGAAGGAAUUCGUUAUGUAAAGCUCUAUCAGCAGGGAAGAAAAUGACGGUACCUGAGUAAGAAGCCCCGGCUAACUACGUGACAGCAGCCGCGGUAAUGCGGCGGGGGCAAGCGUCAUCCGGAUUUACUGGGUGUAAAGGGGGCGUAGACGGGAGUGCAAGUCUGGAGUGAAAGGCGGGGGGUCAACCCCCGGACUGCUGUGGAAACUGUACGGCUGGAGUGCAGGAGAGGUAAGUGGAAUUCGUGGUGUAGCGGUGAAAUGCGUAGAUAUUAGGAGGAACACCAGUGGCGAAGGCGGCUUACUGGACUGUAACUGACGUUGAGGCUCGAAAGCGUGGGGAGCGAACAGGAUUAGAUACCCGAGUAGUC